RNAcentral lists this ribosomal RNA (497 nucleotides) under uncultured bacterium. RNAcentral's name for it is "partial 16S ribosomal RNA". It matches the Rfam family "Bacterial small subunit ribosomal RNA", at positions 28 to 507 of the family's 1533-position model. The record is from RNAcentral.
GAUGAACGCUGGCGGCGUGCCUAACACAUGCAAGUCGAACGGAAGGACAGUAAGAUUUUGCCUUUGCUGUUGGCGGCGGGCGGGUGGGUAACGAGUGGAUCGGAUUCUACUUUGUCUGGGAGGACUACGUAGGAAAGGAGAUGCUAAUAGCGCAUACUUUCUACCGCAUGAAGCAGUAGUGCAUCGCGGCUUUGGUGUCUGUUAUAGAUGGAUCCGCGCUGUAUUAGCUAGUUGGUAAGGUAACGGCCUACCAAGGAUACGAUGCGUAGCCGACCUGAGAGGAUGAUCGGCCACACUGGAACUGAGACACGGUCCAGACUCCUACGGGAGGCAGCAGUAGGGAAUCUUCGGCAAUGGGCGAAAGCCUGACCGAGCAACACCGCGUGAGUGAAGAAGGCCUUCGGGUUGUAAAGCUCUUUUAUUGGGGAAGAACAGAUGUGUGUUAAUCUGCGGAUAUUGUGACGGUACCUAAACAAUAAGCCACGGCUAACUACGUG